RNAcentral lists this ribosomal RNA (465 nucleotides) under Vreelandella stevensii. RNAcentral describes it as "partial 16S ribosomal RNA". It matches the Rfam family "Bacterial small subunit ribosomal RNA", at positions 338 to 795 of the family's 1533-position model. The record is from RNAcentral. Lineage: Bacteria; Pseudomonadati; Pseudomonadota; Gammaproteobacteria; Oceanospirillales; Halomonadaceae.
CCUACGGGGGGCAGCAGUGGGGAAUAUUGGACAAUGGGGGGAACCCUGAUCCAGCCAUGCCGCGUGUGUGAAGAAGGCCCUCGGGUUGUAAAGCACUUUCAGUGAGGAAGAACGCCUGGUGGUUAAUACCCAUCAGGAAAGACAUCACUCACAGAAGAAGCACCGGCUAACUCCGUGCCAGCAGCCGCGGUAAUACGGAGGGUGCGAGCGUUAAUCGGAAUUACUGGGCGUAAAGCGCGCGUAGGUGGCUUGAUAAGCCGGUUGUGAAAGCCCCGGGCUCAACCUGGGAACGGCAUCCGGAACUGUCAAGCUAGAGUGCAGGAGAGGAAGGUAGAAUUCCCGGUGUAGCGGUGAAAUGCGUAGAGAUCGGGAGGAAUACCAGUGGCGAAGGCGGCCUUCUGGACUGACACUGACACUGAGGCGCGAAAGCGUGGGUAGCAAACAGGAUUAGAUACCCUUGUAGUC